UUUUUUUUUUUUUUUAAUUUGUCCCUGCACUCAAGGAAAUCAAAUGGGAGGGCUGCACAAGGAGAAGGCUGAGCCUCAUAUGUGCUUGUCACCAGUCGUCUGCAGUGAGACAAAAAUCAUUAUGAGUUGUCAUCAUUAGGCCUGGGUAUGGGCUGGCUGUCCUCCAGCCACAGAUUUUUUGGCUAGUCUUAGAGUUUUUGAGAGCUGGAGAGCAUCUAAGCUCUUCUCACUAGGAGCAAGCAUGCCUACCUUAUAAAUAUUCCUUAGUUAGCACCUUUAUGCCUUACAAUUUUAUGGGUAAAAUGUGUACUUUUGUCAUGCAUGGGCUUAUUUUUUUAAAGCUCCAGCUCCUGGAUCCUUAUCCCUAGUUCUCUUUCUCUAUCCUCAUUCUCCUACACUUUUCUCCCCCUUUUUCCUCUUCCCCUUUCCCAGCCCCUUUCCCCUGCUCUGACUGCUGCUGGGACUCUUGUGUCUGGGAGUGAUCCUUCCCCUGGUUGGGCUUGUUUUGCUUCUGGAUACAGAAAUAUUGUUUGGACCACUUUACAUCUCAAUGCACCUUGCCUGCCAUGGGCAGGAAGGGAGGGGUAGAAGCCCCAGGCACUCCAGUCUGAGAAACAGGAAUAAUAAUGGGUGCACAGAGCUGCUUCCCAAAGUUCCAAUUUGAACUUUGUGGGCAGACUUGGAAAAAACAGACUUCUCAUUUCUCCGUAUUUUAGGUAUAGGUAGGAUGGAACCAAAGGAGAAGCAGCAUGAGGAUUGCAUAGCUUUCAUGCUGCUGGGCAAAAAGUGAAUGGGUGAAUGGGUGUCCAUCAGUGAUGACUUGUUGCAUGUCAACAAGAUGGGAAUUUCUCAGCCAGCUUUGUUGACUUAACAGAGAGCUGGUGAAACCCCUGCAGGCACUUAUUGCCACUCAAUUGCAGAAACAAGCACAGUCAGUUAGGAAGAGGAGUUUAACUGAGCUGAAAAGAGACCUUGACCUGCAAACAACCCAACCCAGAUAGUAUUUUGCAUUCUGUGAGUAGCAUCUGGGAAGAUGGUGGGUUUGCAAACAAGUGUUUCAUCACCCUGCUUGUGAGCAUGGGCAUUGCAGAUGUCCUUGUCUGAGCCUGAAAAGCUCUCUGUGGGAAAUGGGCACUUUGAGUUGUGAAUCAGUCAUUGCUGACUUAGUAAAAGAAACAUUGUGCCCCUGGAAGAGCCGGUGAAGAGCCCAGUGCCCAUACAAGAGGUGGCUGUCUCACGUGGAAACCAGCCCAGCUGACAUCUGGUUUUGCCCUGGAUAUAGAGCAUUUUCCUCUUAACUUUUAUAUACAAGUCAGAGCAGUUUAGGCAUAGAAGCCUGAAUCUUGGCAUGAAGGUUUUCACUUAACACAAUCCAGUUAAAACACUUGGCUUUGGUGUUCACUCUGGAUGUGACAAAAGAUGUGUUCAUACCUGCAAAGGCCUCUGCUGAAGGUUUCUCUGCUUUGGAUGCACUCAUCUCACACCACUCCCAACUUUUGCACAUGUGAAACUCAGGCCUGCCUUCAUAAAAGAAGGCAGAUACUCUGUGAAUUAAUUGGCUUUGGGGAUGUUCUUGAGAGAUGCUCAGUGGUGUUGUGUGUUGAAUUUUCCUGGCGCAGCCCUCUCCUACUCUGAGCUCAUCCCCUCCGUUGCCAAACCUGAAUGAGAAGCACCUCUGGAAGAGCCUCUAGAGGCCCAUCUCCUUGCAGCUGCCUUCUCCCAAGGGUUUCUCAAAGUGUGCAGGUAGGUGAGGCUGCCAAGGGCCUUUGCAGCUAACAGCAUUUUUUUUUUUUUUUUGUAAAAUUAGGUGUCUGGGGUCACACAGUAUUUAUAAAAAGCCAGAGUGCUUGGAAUAGAUAAAUUCUGGAGAAUCAUUCCUUGCAUGGCUACUGGUUUGUAGAGCAAUUGCUGACCUUGGGGAGAGAAGAGCUUUGUGAUUUAUCAAUUUUUCUUGAGCUCUGUGGCCUUUUUCAAACUAACACCAUGUUCUUGCUGCUGCUUUUUCUUGGCACAGAGAGCCUGAAAGACCUUUUGAGAGCAAAGACACGUUUCAGCCAUACUCAUUUGAGCACACAGAGGUCUCAGCUUGUUCUCCAGACACGUUCUGGCUCAUACCCUGGUCUUAACCAGGCUCUGAGGAUGUGCAUACACAUGAAGGAUUGUGAUCAGGUGUUGGGUCACUUCGGUAAUACUAUCCAGGGGCAAGCUGGGUGGAAAUUCCAGAGGGAUCACCUCCUGUACACAUUAAAUGCUGAAGGCCUGGGCACAGACCAGUGCUUGUCAGAGGUGUUCACUUUCCAGGGGGCUGCCAACUCAGCCUGGAGUCAUGGAGGAAGGGCCACACUGUGGAAGAGUCGAAGGCUUCUGGUCCUGGGCAGAAGUGAGAAAAGCUUCUCAGAGGAGUGAGGUUUGUGCCCAGGGCUGUGCUGGGAACUGAGUGAUCCUAGCCCUGGCUAUAAACACAGACCCUCCAUCACUGGAGACUGAAGCCCCUGUGUGCUACCAUGGUCAGAAGGGACUUCAUCCAGAGGAGUUUUCUGGUUUUUGCCCUCUCCCUGAAGCCUCCCUUCACCCUUUUGUGUUUUCAUUUUGAAAUGCUGCCCUUCCUCCAGGCUCUAUCUUGCAGUGAGCUGCAAACUCUUCUGGAAGCCCGCACCAGAGAGUGUCCCUUUGAAGUGGAAGGGAUCACUAAAAUGCCUUGUUUCUCUUCAAGGCCAGUGUUUCUAUCAA
Molecule: long non-coding RNA, 2730 nt
Filed under: Taeniopygia guttata (zebra finch)
Lineage: Eukaryota; Metazoa; Chordata; Aves; Passeriformes; Estrildidae
Description: lncRNA (ENSTGUG00000025393.1)
Source: RNAcentral